RNAcentral lists this unclassified non-coding RNA (148 nucleotides) under Fusobacterium necrophorum subsp. necrophorum. Its description in RNAcentral is "short form 16S-23S intergenic spacer". Lineage: Bacteria; Fusobacteriati; Fusobacteriota; Fusobacteriia; Fusobacteriales; Fusobacteriaceae. The record is from RNAcentral.
UCUAAGGAGUAUUCUUGUUGUUCUUUCUUCUUUGGAAGGGUUCGCGCAUGGACCUUGGAAACUGUAUAGUAGAUCAAAAAACAAACAAGNAAUAAAGAACAAAGAACUCUAGUUUCUAGAGUUAGCUGUCAAAGAAAAAACCANGUAU